This 458-nucleotide ribosomal RNA is filed under the name uncultured bacterium. RNAcentral describes it as "partial 16S ribosomal RNA". It matches the Rfam family "Bacterial small subunit ribosomal RNA", at positions 339 to 795 of the family's 1533-position model. The record is from RNAcentral.
CUACGGGCGGCAGCAGUAGGGAAUAUUGGGCAAUGGACGAGAGUCUGACCCAGCCAUGCCGCGUGCCGGAUGAAGGCCUUCUGGGUUGUAAACGGCUUUUCUCAGGGAAGAAAAAGGGCAUGCGUGCUCAACUGACGGUACCUGAGGAAUAAGCACCGGCUAACUCCGUGCCAGCAGCCGCGGUAAUACGGAGGGUGCAAGCGUUGUCCGGAUUUAUUGGGUUUAAAGGGUGCGUAGGCGGCCCGUUAAGUCCGGGGUGAAAGCCCACAGCUCAACUGUGGAACUGCCCUGGAUACUGGCGGGCUUGAGUCCAGACGAGGUUGGCGGAAUGGAUGCUGUAGCGGUGAUAUGCAUAGAUAGCAUCCAGAACCCCGAUUGCGUAGGCAGCUGACUAGGCUGGAACUGACGCUGAGGCACGAAAGCGUGGGGAGCGAACAGGAUUAGAUACCCGGGUAGUC